CGGAGCUACCCAGCAAUGGGAGUGCGAAUCUCGAAAGCCUGUCUCAGUUCGGAUUGGAGGGCUGCAACUCGCCUACAUGAAGUCGGAAUCGCUAGUAAUCGCGGAUCAGCAUGCCGCGGUGAAUACGUUCCCGGGCCUUGUACACACCGCCCGUCACACCAUGAGAGUUUGUAACACCCAAAGCCGGGUGGGGUAACCUUCUGGAGCCAGCCGUCUAAGGUGGGACAGAUGAUUAGGGUGAAGUCGUAACAAGGUAAC
Molecule: ribosomal RNA, 258 nt
Filed under: uncultured bacterium
Lineage: Bacteria
Description: partial 16S ribosomal RNA
Rfam family: Bacterial small subunit ribosomal RNA
Source: RNAcentral